RNAcentral lists this ribosomal RNA (253 nucleotides) under uncultured Lactobacillus sp. Its description in RNAcentral is "partial 16S ribosomal RNA". It matches the Rfam family "Bacterial small subunit ribosomal RNA", at positions 524 to 776 of the family's 1533-position model. Lineage: Bacteria; Bacillati; Bacillota; Bacilli; Lactobacillales; Lactobacillaceae. The record is from RNAcentral.
UACGUAGGUGGCAAGCGUUGUCCGGAUUUAUUGGGCGUAAAGCGAGCGCAGGCGGAAAGAUAAGUCUGAUGUGAAAGCCCCCGGCUUAACCGAGGAAUUGCAUCGGAAACUGUGUUUCUUGAGUGCAGAAGAGGAGAGUGGAACUCCAUGUGUAGCGGUGGAAUGCGUAGAUAUAUGGAAGAACACCAGUGGCGAAGGCGACUUUCUGGACAGUAACUGACGUUGAGGCACGAAAGUGUGGGGAGCAAACAGG